This 30-nucleotide non-coding RNA is filed under the name Mus musculus (house mouse). The record is from RNAcentral. Lineage: Eukaryota; Metazoa; Chordata; Mammalia; Rodentia; Muridae.
UGCCAAAUCCUGGCUCCUCCUGGUGCUUAC